ACUUUCUCAUUACCUCUAUCACUAUUUUUGUCAUUUUGCAUGAAUCUUUGCAUGAUUUGUAGAUUUACAUGCCAUUUUUGUAUGAAUCAGUUCGUGGAGUACAGUAAGAUGAUAUACUUGGAUGGGGAUAUUCAAGUCUACGAUAACAUUGACCACCUCUUUGAGCUACCAGACGGACAUUUCUAUGCAGUGAUGGACUGUUUCUGUGAGAAAACAUGGAGUCACACGCCACAGUACAAGAUUGGAUACUGCCAACAGUGUCCGGAAAAGGUUCAGUGGCCAGCGGAGCUGGGUCAGCCGCCUUCACUUUACUUCAACGCAGGCAUGUUCGUGUUUGAGCCCAGCCUCUCCACCUAUGAAGAUCUCUUGGAAACCCUCAGGAUCACCCCUGCAACCCCUUUUGCAGAGCAGGUAAACACAUAAGCUUUUGCUGAUGAUAUUCUUCCAACAUAAUCCGGUUGUGGUUCUGGGAUUUUGUUAUUUAGGAAAAUGUGUAUGUGUUUUUGGCAGGAUUUCUUGAAUAUGUACUUCAGCGAUGUAUAUAAGCCUAUUCCUCUGGUCUACAAUCUUGUCCUUGCCAUGCUGUGGCGGCAUCCUGAGAAUGUAGAGCUUGAUAAAGUGAAAGUUGUUCACUACUGUGCAGCGGUGAGUACCAAAGAAGAUUGAUUUUGGGAGAUUAAUUCGCAAGUUAUAACCUGUGGUGGUUAUGUAUACUAAUACAAAUAUUUGUGAACGGUAUACCAGGGGUCGAAGCCAUGGAGGUACACAGGGAAGGAGGACAACAUGCAGAGAGAGGACAUUAAGAUGCUGGUAAACAAAUGGUGGGAGAUAUACAAUGACAAGUCAUUGGAUUACAAGAAGACGAGGAUGAUGGCGAAUGAUUACAGCAGUGUUUUGCCGGGGGAGCAGGUGAAUUUGGAGCCGUUCAUUGCAGCUCUUUCCGAGGUGGGGCAUGUUGAAUUUGUGAGAGCCCCUUCAGCAGCCUAGAAGAGGCCAGUACUCUCGUGGAGAAGAGGAUCCAAGGGGCAUGCAAGCAGAUGACCGGUGAAUUUCCAUUUUCGAGAUGAAAAUGUUGGUUAUUUUUGUGGUUUGGGGGUUUGUCACGGUUAGUGAAUUUUUACGUUGUUCACUUGUAAUAUCCUUAAUGAUUGCCCACUACAAGGCAAAUUACUUCCAGUCAUACAUAAAAUCUCAAAGACACUCUGUUUUAUCUGCUGUUGAACUCUGUUUUUUUUUUUUUUUUUGCUCUUUUUCUCCCUCCUUUUUCUUUUUAUUUAUUUAUUUUCUUUGGGAAAUGGAAUUGAAAUACGUGGGACAAGAAUCGUAUAGGCUUAUUUGAGACAACAAAACAUCCACCCAGUCCCAGUCGCGGACCUGUUAUGGUGAAGGCAAGUUGAUUAAGGACGGUACAGCAGGGCACUUAAUUAUGGCUAGGUUAUAUCCCAACUUGUGGGUAGAAAAAAAAGGGUAAUAUUAAAAUGAGAACCAAUUUAAAAAGCAUUUUUGAAUUUAAUUUAAUUUUAAUUUAUUUGUUAUUUAUAAUUUUGAAGUUAAUUUUAACUUAUUUAUUAAGAGGAAAAAUUAUACUUAUAAGAAGGAUUAAAUGUACAUAAAAAAAAAUAUUCGUAUGUGAAAAGAAAAGAAAUAUUGAAAAAUAGUAAGAAAACUUUAUUUUAGGCAUAACUAAUGAUUGGUUGAAAGUUUUCAUUAUCAUUCUCAUUUGACAUUUCUUUUUACCAUAUAAGUGAUUUGAUUUGAAUGGAAAGUUGGAUACUAGAUCUUUAAGGAUAAGGAAGGAGAUUAAUUUAAUCAGAUUUCUUUUUAUCUCUUUUACUUUUUUAAAUUAAAAGAAAAUAAAAAAAAUAGAGAGAAAAAAAUAAAAGAAAUAAAAAAUAGAUUUAAAAUUAAUAAAUUAUUUUUAUAUAUAUUUUAAAACUCAUUUCACUUAUUUCCUAUAUAAUUUUAAAAUAUAUAAAUUAUUAAUUAAUUUUAAUUAUAUUUAUUUUUUUUAUAAUGAAACUAAAAAUUAAAAAAAAUAUUAUAUAUAAGGGUGGAGGUUAAUUUAAUUACAUCUUUUCUUAAUUUAUUUUAAAUUUUUAUCUGCUUAGUUUUAAUAUUGAGGGAAAAUACUAAAAAAAGAAAAGAAAAAAUAAAAAAAUAAAAAAGAAAAUUAGAAAAUAAUUUUAAAAUUAAUAAAUUAUUUUUAUGUGUUUUUUCAAAGUUAUUUCACAUGUUUCUCUAUGUAAUAUAAGGAUUAAAUAAAUUUUAAAUAUUUUAAAUUUAAUUAUAAUUGAUUUUUUUAUAUAACAAAAUUAAAUAUAAAAAAUCAUUUUUCUUAAUAUUUUAUUUUAUUUUUAUUGUUUUUUGUUUAGUAUGCAGAAGCUCUCAUUCCACUUGUGUCGGCAAAAACAUCAUUGUAAAUAUAUUAAAAGAAAAACAUAAAAAAUAAAGCAAAUCACGUAAAAGGUACACAAAGUUUUAAUAUGAUUUGAUCAAUUAUGACUAUUUUCACCAAUGAGAAAGAACAUUUUAUCAUAUGAUAGAAAAUAUUAUAAAGAACAAAAAUCUAAAAAAAUACAAUUACGAGAUCUCUAUCUUAAAAUAUGAGCCGUUUUACUUCAUUAAAUGUUUUUUUUUUUCAUCACAUUUACUUCCCAGUAAACCCCCUUUCUCUACUAGAUGUAUGUCGUUCUUUCUCAUAUUUUUAUUCCAUCUCUCUCAUAACUUUUUUUUAAAAUAAAAUAUUUAUAAAGAUAUUUCUAUUAACUUCGUAAGAAUCUAAUUAUUAUCACAUAUAAAUUAAAAAAUAUUAUAUAUAAUAUUUCUUUUACAAAUAUAUUCCCCAUCACUUUCCCGCCAAACAUAGGAUAAAUGAUGCUCUUUAUGUCCUAAUCUUUCCAAACUUUCAAGUAUUCUUUUACUUAGAAAUUACAAAUUUGAUACAAAUUGGGCCACCAUUUGAGAGUCCAAUCCCUCCAGCCAGAUUUAUAGGUGAGUUUAACUUGAAUUGAAGAAGUAGGAAUGUAAAAAUACUGGGAUUGACAUGAAUUCAAGAUCAGAAAACCCCCGAAAGCCAAAUCCAGCACAUUAUUGAUUUAUUUUUAUUUUAUUAUAAUAUAAAAAACAUAAAUUAUAAAAAAACAUAAAUUAUAAAAAAACACUAACUUUCUUAAUUUUUAAUUACAUUUUAAUUAUUAAAAUAUCUUUAAUAGUUAUAGUUAAAGUUUGAGCUUAUGAAUAAUUAUUUAUGUUAAAAUAAUAAUUAAUAAUUUACAGUUUUGACACCUUUUUGUUUUUUGACUUGAAGAAAAAAAAUAGUAGUAACUUAUAUAAAAAAUGAAAAAUUUUAUUAAAAAAAAUUAAACUUAUUUCAUGUCUUUAAAAAAUUACUUUUAGAAAUGUAAGUUAAAUAGAUUUUAAAAACUAUAAUUUUUCUUUAAUAUAAGUUGUUAUUUUUUAUAGGUUGAAUAUAACAUGAAAUAGGACAAGAUAAUAUAUCAUAUCUCAUUUUUUAUUGGUAAUAUUAGGGGUGCAACUUGUACGGGUUGGUUUGACCCAAUUGGAACCCAAUCCAAUGUUUGGGUGAACUUAGGCAAAUAUUUCCAUUACUUGAGUUAAACUUGAAUUAAGUUUUUUCAACUCGAAUUCAAUUUGAAUUGGAUCCAAGCUAAGGUUUAAAAAACUCGAGGAUAACUCGAACUUGAUUUAAUAUUUUUAUGAUAUUUAUAAUGUUAAUGUUUAUUAUUUUAAAUGAUAAUAUUCAUUUUCUUUUUAAUUUUGGAAGAAAAAAAUAUCAAAUUAUAAUUAUAUCACACAGUUAUUACUUUUUAAAAAAGAUAUAUAAGUUUAUUUUUACUUUUUUUUAUUAUCUUGAAAUUUUGUGCUAUUUAUUAUUUAAAUUUUGAUAUAAAUAUAUAGAAAAUAAGUUUUUUUAAAAACUAUUAUAGAUGAAUUUUAAAUCUUUCAGCACAAUGAAUCCAAAUAAUUUGAGUCUAACUCAAUCAACUCGAGUUUAACCCAAUCAACUCGAUCAACUUGAGAUCAACUUGAAUUUAGAAAAUAAGGUUAGGCUAGGCUUGGGUUAAGUACUUUGGGUUAGAGGACGAGUUAUGUUAACCUUAACUUGAUUCUUUCUUAAUUUGUGUUGGAUUUGAGUUAGCUAUUAACUCAACCAACUCGCCCAAGUUGCCAUCCAAGUUGCAGCCCCAAGUAAUAUUUUAGGAUAAGUUAUCUUAUCAUAUUUCAUAUAUUAUAUCUUAUAUUUAACAAAAUAGGAUAUUUAACAAAAUAUGCGUUUGGUAUAAAAUAGGUAGUAAGAUACUUUGGUAUAAAAUAGGUAGUAAGAUACUAAGAUAAAAUGUCUUUUUUCUCUUUUUAUUUUUUUUCUUUUAUACAUAUUAAUUUUAAAUAAUACUCUUUAUUUAUUUAUUAUAAUAUCUAAUGGACACUACAAAACGUUGUAUAGAUCACCUAGUAAAAUGAAAAUAUUAAAUCAAAUUAAAAGUGUGUUCAACUAUUAUUUUAGAAAGUAUUUCUAAUUUUUCUAAGAUUUCAGUAUUAAAUAUAUUAGAAGCAUUUCUUAAAAUCAUUGUGAAAUAAACUCUAAUUUAUAUAUUUAAAAAUCACUUUUAUAAAUUUUAAAAUUUAAGUUACUAAAAUUCUUUUGAUGUCUUAAUUUUUUAAAUAAUUUUUAAAACUUUUAUUUAUUUUUAAAUAAAAGGAAAUCUAUUAGUUUUUGGAUCUUCCCAUAUUGUUUACCAUUAACAGCCAUGAGGCGUUACCUCUUUUUUUUUUUUUUUUUAAUCGUGAAGUUCGAUUGACGUGUAAUUCUGCUUAAAAUAAAUUAAGUGUAUGUUUAACAAAAAAUUUUAAAAGUAUUUUUAAUUUAAAAGGUAUUUAAAAAAAAACAUAAGAUGAAAUUACUUAUAAUGUUAUUUGGUGAAACAUUUUAUAGAUAUAUUCUUUUAAAAAAUAUUAAGAAAAUACUUUCAUUUUAAAACAUGGAGAACAUUCUUAAAUGUGCUUUAUUUAAUUUCUAUUUUUUAAAAAAUUAAAAUUUAUUUUUUAAAUAAAAAUAGGAGAAUCCGACAUUUUUAUUAGCUAUAGAAUACUCUUUUUGUAAUAGAAAUGAUAAUAAGAUGAGUUUUUCUUUUGUUUUUCUUUUAUUUUUUAUUUUAUCUAUCCUGCCCUAAUGGAACAUGUUUAAAAUUUAAAUAAAUAAGUUGGAAAUAAGUUUGAGAUUUUUUAAAAAAUAUAUAACAGAUUUGGGUGUUAAGUCCUUAUACUCAUAUUAUGUACAAAAUUAAUUUACUUUAAUUUUAAAUUUUUUAUUUUUAAUAUGUAACAAUAAUAAAAAAUAUUUUUUAAUAUAAUAAAUUAUAAAAAAUUAUAGUAUUUUAAUUAUUUAUAAAAUAUAUUUAUUUUAAUAUAAUAAAAAAAAAGUUAGAUUGAAUGGGCGAGGCAAGAUAAGUAUAAGAAAUUUGCGUACCAUUAAGACUCUCUUCCACAUGCCACGUCUCCAGAACCUUCCCGGUGACACUGCACAACCGUUGGAUCAUACCUGAGGCACGUGUCAGCAGGCAACCCAAGAUCACAUGACCUAUGAAGUUACCAAAUUAUGCUCACCCUCUUCAAUUUUAAAUAUCAUUUAUCGCUUAUUUAAGCCACAAACGCGCCAUCGGCAUCCUCAAUUAAGAAGGAAAGACAACCCAGAGUCAGAUUCUCCAGCCUCAGCUCUCUCUAGAACCGUCGUCUCUCUUCCUUCCCAUCCACUCUAGCACAUUCUCGCUCACAUGGCUCCUGAAAUCAUCUCCGCUUCGGGAAAACCGUCCGGAUUUUUGAAACCGGCUAGUCUUCCGGACAGAGCAUACGUGGCCUUCUUGGCCGGUAACGGGGACUACGUGAAAGGUGUUGUUGGGUUAGCCAAGGGGCUGCGGAAGGUGAAAUCCGAUUACCCGCUUGUGGUGGCGGUGUUACCGGACGUGCCGGUGGAGCACAGCCGAGAACUGGAAUCCCAGGGGUGCAUCGUCAGAGAGAUUGUGCCGGUUUACAAGAACCAGACCCAGUUCGCCAUGGCCUAUUACGUUAUCAAUUAUUCAAAGAUCCGUAUCUGGGAGGUACGUGAUAGUACUUUCUCAUUACCUCUAUCACUAUUUUUGUCAUUUUGCAUGAAUCUUUGCAUGAUUUGUAGAUUUACAUGCCAUUUUUGUAUGAAUCAGUUCGUGGAGUACAGUAAGAUGAUAUACUUGGAUGGGGAUAUUCAAGUCUACGAUAACAUUGACCACCUCUUUGAGCUACCAGACGGACAUUUCUAUGCAGUGAUGGACUGUUUCUGUGAGAAAACAUGGAGUCACACGCCACAGUACAAGAUUGGAGACUGCCAACAGUGUCCGGAAAAGGUUCAGUGGCCGGCGGAGCUGGGUCAGCCGCCUUCACUUUACUUCAACGCAGGCAUGUUUGUGUUUGAGCCCAGCCUCUCCACCUAUGAAGAUCUCUGGGAAACCCUCAGGAUCACCCCUGCAACCCCUUUUGCAGAGCAGGUAAACACAUAAGCUUUUGCUGAUGAUAUUCUUCCAACAUAAUCCGG
RNAcentral lists this long non-coding RNA (6586 nucleotides) under Vitis vinifera (wine grape). RNAcentral describes it as "long non-coding RNA (VVIN_LNC002074)". Lineage: Eukaryota; Viridiplantae; Streptophyta; Magnoliopsida; Vitales; Vitaceae. The record is from RNAcentral.